RNAcentral lists this ribosomal RNA (439 nucleotides) under Salmonella enterica. RNAcentral describes it as "partial 23S ribosomal RNA". It matches the Rfam family "Bacterial large subunit ribosomal RNA", at positions 2316 to 2754 of the family's 2925-position model. The record is from RNAcentral. Lineage: Bacteria; Pseudomonadati; Pseudomonadota; Gammaproteobacteria; Enterobacterales; Enterobacteriaceae.
GUUCCCUCAGCCUGGUUGGCAAUCAGGUUUUGAGUGUAAGUGCACAAGGGAGCUUGACUGUGAGACAGGCAUGUCGAGCAGGGACGAAAGUCGGGACUAGUGAUCCGGCGGUGGCUUGUGGAAGCGCCGUCGCUCAACGGAUAAAAGGUACCCCGGGGAUAACAGGCUGAUCUUGCCCAAGAGUCCAUAUCGACGGCAUGGUUUGGCACCUCGAUGUCGGCUCGUCGCAUCCUGGGGCUGGAGUAGGUCCCAAGGGUUGGGCUGUUCGCCCAUUAAAGCGGUACGCGAGCUGGGUUUAGAACGUCGUGAGACAGUUCGGUCCCUAUCCGCUGUGCGCGUAGGAAACUUGAGAAGAGCUGUCCCUAGUACGAGAGGACCGGGAUGGACGAACCUCUGGUGUGUCAGUUGUUCUGCCAAGAGCACGGCUGAUUAGCUACGU